Molecule: long non-coding RNA, 1463 nt
Filed under: Equus asinus (donkey)
Lineage: Eukaryota; Metazoa; Chordata; Mammalia; Perissodactyla; Equidae
Description: lncRNA (ENSEASG00005035679.1)
Source: RNAcentral
GUUUGUGCUCCCAGCACUGACUCAGCAGUUGUGAGGGGGAAGAUGGUGUUGGCUGGGGUUAAAAAUAUGGCAGAAGAAAGCACCAGAAGCAGCUCACUCAACCACCUUCUGAGGAAUAUGUAGCUGCUCCUGCUCCCGGUGGCCUUUCUCCCACCCCCACAGGGCUUGGGCAGAGAGGUGGGACAAGCUGAGGUCUGCGACAGGGAGUCAGCACUGUUUCCUGUUGAACCCUGGAUUGCUCUCCCAAUGUGUGGAGCAGACCGCUGAAAUCAGCAACUCCUCUUCCUCUGCAUCUUCUCUCCUCCAUCCCAUCUUUUAGCCUUUCUGGAGCAUCAAACUGGUACCAACACAGCAGGUUCUAAGAGAACAGAGAUAAGUACCAAAAGCUUCCUUUCAGGGGAGAUCAUCAGAGGCCAAGAGGCCAGGCUCCAUUCCCAUCCCUACAGGCCAUUUCUUCUGACCUAGAGUCCGGUGGGUUCGGGUACCUGCAGGGUGUUCUUGGUGUGAGAAGACUUUUUUCUAACCGCAGCUCUAUGCUGGGGAACAUGAGGAAAUAAGGAGUGUCCUGGGCAACCAGUCAGACAGGCCCAGAAGAGUUCAUAAGAGGGACCUUAAAGCAGGGGUAACAAAGAGACCAGCCCUAUAAAUGUCAUCCUGGGGGCCCACUACAUGGGGAGGCUGGAAAGCACCCAGCAGCGCAUAUCUGUGCUCAGAGCAUCUGCCAUCCUGAAUAUGAGCAGCAGAACAACCUGAAUGACAUCGUGUUACCACGGGCACCAUCUACCUGACACUCUGGUUCCCCAGCCCAGCUGUCUUUCUCCCAGCAUGGAGGCUCCAUCCUGUCUUGGGACCAUGAAGGAGGAAGCAGGAGCAGGGUUGCAGAUAAUGGUGGGGGCAAGAGGAUUUCUGGGGGAUUAGAGGAGCACCAGACACACAACCUGCACAUGUGCAGCCUUGUCCUGUGGAAGUGGAAGGUGUCCUGACUUGGGUUGAGCUACAGACAGUAACCAUAGUCAGGACUGAAGCCCAGCGAUGGAAAGAUCCAGAAGCUUGACUCCUCCACCCAGCAGCCUCCCAUCUCACACACACCCCACAUUGAAGGAGCCCACCUGUCCCUAUCUUCUCUGAGGGCUGAGCCUUAGGGCAAAAGGAGUGGGGAGGCCUGAUUUCAUGUCCCUUCCUCCCAUCACCCACAGGGGGACACUAGAGGCCCCCUGGUGUGUCAUCAUGAGGCCCAGGGCAUCGUAUCCUAUGUAAAUAAUAUGGGAACUUCUUCAUUAGUCUUCACCAGAGUUUCCAGCUUCUUUUCCUGGAUAAGAAGAACAAUGAGAUGCCUCAAACAGUGGGGUCAGACUGAGACCCACACCCACCUGUGACCCACUCUUCUUCUCUGGGGCAGAGGCCAGCUCCAGGGGGGUUGCCAGAGCCUUAAUAAAUGGCCACGUCUAGAGUGGAAAUAUCUG